This 303-nucleotide ribosomal RNA is filed under the name uncultured bacterium. RNAcentral describes it as "bacterial SSU rRNA". It matches the Rfam family "Bacterial small subunit ribosomal RNA", at positions 775 to 1067 of the family's 1533-position model. The record is from RNAcentral.
GGAUUAGAUACCCUGGUAGUCCUAGCCGUAAACGAUGGGCACUAGGUAGGGGGGAUACCUAUGGUCUUCCCUGCCGCAGCAAAUGUGUUAAGUGCCCCGCCUGGGGAGUACGCUCGCAAGGGUAAAACUCAAAGGAAUUGACGGGGGCUCACACAAGCGGUGGAGCAUGUGGUUUAAUUCGAAGCAACGCGAAGAACCUUACCUAGCCUUGACAUCCAUGGAUUAGCUCGGUGAAAGUCGAGUGACAGCUCUUCGGAGUCGGAACAUGGACAGGUGUUGCAUGGCUGUCGUCAGCUCGUGCUG